Drosophila simulans is the source of this 93-nucleotide non-coding RNA. NCBI's taxonomy places the organism in Eukaryota, Metazoa, Arthropoda, Insecta, Diptera, Drosophilidae. The record is from Rfam.
UUUGAUUUCGUACGUAGCCAUAAUUCCAAUAGGGCUUAUGAAUCGUGCAUGCCACCUACGGACGCUAGGUGGUAUCUUAAGAAGAUUUUAAUU